ACAAUCAACAGGCAGAAAACAAGAUAGAAGUUUCCUCAGUCCCCAGAUCGACAAUCGACAGCUGAGAGACUAUUUUUUGCUAUGGUUGACUAAAUAUGGUCAGGGAAGAGAGAGGCACUAGAGAGCCGCUUGCCUGGGAGUGCAUGUUUCAAAUGCUUAGCUGCCUAUAAAGCUCUAACAGCCUAGGCUGUGGUUAUAAGCUGACCUCUGUGGUGACUAUGUGAAGUCCUGACCUCGAUUGCAGAUUGACCUUUGGAUAUGACAAGACAGCUUUACUCCAGAUCUACCAUUAACCCUGGAAAUUCAAACUCCCAUUCCCCCAAAAGAAUCUCAAAGCAAGAAAGAUGCAGGAUAUUUCCUGAGACGUCAGAAGAACCCAAUGUACUCUGGUGGCCACAGGAAACAGGGUGAAUAGCUACUUGGGAAAGCAAGGUGUGCUGGGGGUUUUGUUUGCAGCUUUGUUUUUUGUUGUUGUUGCUGCUGCUGCUGCUGUUGUUGUUUUUAAUCAAUCUUUAACUUCCUCUGCAAUUCCCCCUCUUGUGAACCAUUUCAUCUAACUUAAAAAAAAAACUAGGUACAUUUUCUUGGCCAUUGUAGCAACUUUCCCCCAUUACUUCACUUUCUCUACCUAUCUAUGCAAUAAUUGAUAUAUUACAAUCCAAAUCGUAUGACCAACGUUGAUUGAAUUCUAGUGUGUGUGUAUGUGUAUGCAUGCCCAAAUAAAUGUGUCUAUGUGUGUGUUGAGGAAAGGCAGGAGAGGAAAGUAGAUUAUCUGAUUUUUUAUUUAUUUAACUUGUCUUUUAAAUUUAUCUUAAAAAGUAAGGUUCUGUGCUCACUUAUACACCUCCUUACUUCACCCAGCUCAUAAAAGCAGUGCUGAAUUAGCAGAUAAUGUGAGGGAACAACCAAGGAAUCGGCGGUGACUACGGCAUGACUCUCUAGUCAUUACCUCUCUUCCUCCUACACAUGCUGCAGGACACUAAGCUCACAGGAUCUUGAAGUAAAUUAUAGAGAAGAAAAGGGACCUGUGACGGGGAGAACAACUCCACUGACUUUCUGCAGCUCCUGAAAAAGAACCAAGGAGGCACCCAGUGCUUAUGUACACCAAGAACAAAGAACACUAAGUGCAUAAUGGGAUCAGGUAAAUUUGUUGUAACACUCAGUCUCUGAUAAGCUAAUCUCUGCACAUGAUCUCUCACUGUUCCAUAUCAGUAACCAGAAUGUUUCACUAUCAAAUGGGGGAAAUGGGAUGCUUCAAGUUUCCACAGCAAACAGCUCAGUAGUGCCUACUCAGAGCACAUACUUCUUUAUGUACCCAUAUGAACAUACACUGCUAUGGAAUGUAAAGAAGUAUGUAUUUUGGGUAGGUAAUGGCCACCAAAAGGGAGCAAUUCUUUCCAGGAGGAUAACCUUCAUACAAUGAAUUAACCUACCGACAAGUAAACGGCCACCAAAGAUACUAACAUCCCCAUUCCAAAAGUACCAGUCAUUUGCAAGUGCAAAUUAAUUUACUUAAAGGAAAAAUUCCAUAGAAAUUGAUUUUAAUUUUUGCUUUAAUUCUACAUUCUAGAUUGUUUGAUUACUCAUGUGAUUAAAAUUUGACUACUACAGAAUAGCACUGAUAGCACAAAACAGUGAGACACAGAUCAACCAUUUUCUGUCCUCACGAUUUGAACUUUAAGUACAUCACAUUACUCAAAUUGGGACCAACAGAUCUAAUAAGAAAAAUAAGGCAACAAAAAUCACAUCAAAUUUGUGAUUUAUUCCCAUUUUAAUAGCUAUUCUUCACCUGUGGUAAAAUGUACCACCUAUUAAAGCCUGAGGAUUUUCUAAGGCAAAUUUUUCAGUUUUACAUCUUCUUUUCUGACACUAUAAAAAAAAAAAAACAACGUAAUUUUAUACUGUACAAAUGAACUCUUUGGCCCUUGCCUCUAGUUUAUCAGUUCUUAACUCAAUCUCCAAUUUAAAUGCCAUUACUACGUAAAGCAUGAGAGAAGGAUAAAAAUGGCAAAAUGCUAAGUAAAAAGGAUGUAUUGGUAACAAACUGUCAAAUAUUUUAAAGUCUGUAUUAUCCUUGCUUACAUCAAAGGGUAUUAUUCUGCCCAUAAUGAAUUAUGAACAACAGUAUUUUAGUUAUUCCACGGGUAUGAAAAAUUAUAGUAAUUCUUUAAAAAAAAUAUUUCAGCAACUAGGAAUUUGUCACAAUUCUUAGAAAAUGCUGGCUAUUCAUUUAUAAAGUAAAAUUGAAAACUGAUUCUGUUGCUUCUAAGUUUAGCUAACAUAUCUAGGAGGGUUUUCAAUCACUCUGAAAUGUCACAUCCAGCACUUAGAUCAGGUAUUCCUUUUGAACAGAGUACAUGUUAGACUCUGGGCAUCUGCUGACACUGCUGUAACCCAAACAUUUCAACUGUCUCCCUGGCAGAGAUGACAGAUGCUGACAUUAUCAAACGCUGUACUAUUUUUUCCCAUGGCCUCUCCUUGCCCUGAUAUGGCCAGUACAUGAAACUGAACUAUCCAAAAGAACACUUGAACAACUGGAUCUGCUGAAUGGCUGCCAUGUAACUACUAAAAAUAGAAGCAGGCAAGUGCUAUCUUCAGCACUUAAGUUCAGGCAACUGCAUAUCUGUUUCACUAUUAGGAAAUAUAAUGGAAAGAAUUAAAAUUACAUUAAUUUCAGAAGCAGAAUACAAUAUACAACUAUUUGCAUAUUGUCUGAGCCUGUGUCACCCUUCUCCCAGGUUAGUUUAAGAUAAUAAAUUAAUGUGGUUCUUCACUCAGCACUCUUAUUUUACAAACUUUUAUCAGACUUUUAUCUUAUGAGUAUGUUUCAGAAGUCAUUCUCCUCAGACAGGAAAUCUACAGAAGAGACACAUUAUAAAAUGUACCUAAGUGCUGCUUUUAAAAGUAUCAUGUAAAUUUUAAUACUCAAAAUUCACGGGUUAUAGCUAACUACCACAUGUCAAUGUGUCACUGAUCUUAUAAUAAGAACUAAGCAAUCUAUACUCGAAAUAACACAGAAUUUAGUUAAGAAAACAGAUCUUUAAAGAGUUUAAAUUACAACCCCAAAGUUAGUAUGUCAACAUAAGCAAAAACAAAGCAUGGCACUGAAGACAUGUGUGACCUAUCUAUAAACUAAAGGACAAAGGUAUUUUCUUAAGGUCACUCAUAUCCCUCCACUCCUGUCAGCAACCUACUUAGUCCUCAACUAUCACACUAAAAUAACAGUGUAGAACUAUGCAGUUAGCAUGACUCUUCCUCAACUUCUAGUUUAAUUACUUAAAACUGAGCUUGCAGGCUGGAUGUGAUGGCACACAACUUUAACCCCAGUACUCAGGAGGCAGAAGCAGGUAGAUCUUUAUUUGAGACCAGCCUGGUCUACAUAAUGCAUUUCAGGACAGCCAGGGCUGCACAGAGACACUCUUUGUAUAAAAUUUUAAAAAAAGGAAGGAAGUAAGGAAAGAAAGAAAAGAAAAAAGGAGGAAAGAAAAGAGAAAGGAAAAAUGAGCCUGCUGAGAGAGACUGGAAACAUCACUUUGAAAUAUAUUAUGAUGCUUGUUUUUUAUAAGUGUUCCUGAUUUUGAAAGAGAAUAUUAUGUGCAUUUAAGAAUUAAGUAAAGAUUCACAUUAAUGUGCUAAAGGGAGAAAACUUCUAAGGCGCAAAAGUAGCAAGCAGUAGGACAUGCAUGCACCUACAAGUAGGACUUUCACUUUUAGCGACUGGCAUACCAGUAUGGGAAUUUCUAACAACUGUCAUCUGUGUUUCUACAAAAGAGCAUGGAACCGGUUUGGAUCCUAAAGUAGCAGCAGCAAUGCUUUGCUAAAGCUGGUAAAAUGGAACCAAAUCGCCUCUUCAAUGGAUUUGGUCCCCUUCAACCAGCUGUAGCUAUGCAUUGAUCACCACAGCACAGCUAGCAUUUCAUGAGAAUAUGGAUUACAUGGCAAAUAGUUUUGCUUAUUGAAUCUAUUAACUGUAAUUAAAAUUAAAUAACUAGCAACUGUUAAUUUUAUUUGGGAGAACUACAGUGAUUAAAGAUGUUUAUCAAAAAGCUUUAUGGAAAAAAUGUGUGAUAAAAAAGAUUUCAAAUAAAGUUAUUUAAUUUGUGGUC
This is a non-coding RNA of Myodes glareolus (Bank vole), 4106 nucleotides long. NCBI's taxonomy places the organism in Eukaryota, Metazoa, Chordata, Mammalia, Rodentia, Cricetidae. The record is from RefSeq and is a predicted model, not a curated record.